Molecule: long non-coding RNA, 1974 nt
Organism: Apis mellifera (honey bee)
Lineage: Eukaryota; Metazoa; Arthropoda; Insecta; Hymenoptera; Apidae
Exons: 2
Source: RefSeq, a predicted model, not a curated record
AUUAUUGCAAGAACGUAAAAAAAAAAAUAUACGCAUUAAUUGUUUAAAUUUCACGAUUUAAAAAAUAAAAAGGAAUUUUCAAUCAGAUUAGAAAAAUUCGAUGAACGUUCUUUUUAAUGGUCAGUCCAAUUACUCCGAUCCAUUAAUUAAGCGUGCACGGUUUGGCCAGAAUUGGUCAAACCGAAGCAACCAACACCCACGCGCGGUGCAAUCACAAACGGAGGAGGUGCGCGGCGUGGUGCACACGUGUGCAGCCGCGACAGAGGCUGCACUUCACGCUUGGUUCGCAUUGGUGCCAAGGUUGCGUUCGCGCUAGUGCGUGGAUUAAUCGAGCCAGCGCGAACCGCUCUGGUGAAACCGUCCUAUGCUCUUAUCACACGUUGUUACACGUGUUGUAACGCGUGCGUGUGUGUUACGAGGAAGAGAGAGAGAGGGAAGAAGAUCUAGACCGGGCAAAUAGAGUGGUGGAAAUUACGCGAAGGAGGUGAAGUUCACUUUUUUUUACAACGAGCACUCUGUGCUCGAGAGAGGAAGCCAAGUAUCGGGGAGAGGUCUGUAAAUAUUCCGGAUGGAGAUAGAUAUAUUUUUUCAAACAACCACUCUUUUUCGCGGUUCUCGUGGCGUAGGAUUUUGUACCCUCUUCGAGUAACAAGAAUUUCUUUUACUUCAUAGAUAAACCUUAUAUGAAAUCUAUCUUGUAAAUAAAAAUAGUAGAGGAAAAAUACUUGCGAGAAAGUAAUGAUCGGACAUCUGGUGAUAAGCCAAGCAACAGUUUAAUAUAUAUAUAUAGAAUUGAGAUAAUUUUCUAGAACAAAAUUAUUAAUAUAUUUUUAUUAUAUAGAGAAUUUUUUAAUAAAAUGAUGCGUAUGAAAGUUUAUUGUUUAUUCGAAUACGUGCACGCUUCGAGAGUUUUCUAAAUAUCAACGUGUAGGUUUCAUUUUAUUAACUUUGUAGCAGAGAACUUUGCGAUAUUUAUACAUUUCUGUAAACAGAAAUUUUUUUUUUAUUUCGCGCGUUAAAUUAUCUUAUCGAUAUUUUGAAAAUUUUAAGAAUGGAAAGAAGAUUUUUCCAUCUUAAAGAAUCUGCCUACGUAACCUCUUCGAGGAAAAGGAAAGGAAGAAAGAGAGAGAAAAAUAGACGAACGAAAAGAAGUUCGAAAUGUGCGUCAUUCGAUGCGUUUGUUGGCCGGCAACAGGGGCAACGCGAUAAGCCUCGAAAAGCCUCGUAAAUUGCGGCAGAGGCGUAGAUAACGAGGCGCAUUGGCGUGACCUUCUCGCGGCGGCUGCGUUCGCGGGCCGGCCGCUUGCUUUAAGGCCGGCUUUUAAAGCCGCUGCUUGCGACUGAUAACGAUGCGAUCGGCGAGAUCGCCGCGAGCGCAUGCGUUUUCACUCGCCAAUUCUACACGCCAUUCAAGUUUCAAUAGCCGACCUUCAUCCUACGCGUUCAACGCUAGACGAUCGAGCGCGUUAAACGGGGCCCGAUCCACGAGCGGUUGCGGAAUCGGCGUGAGUCACUCGAGUGCCGAGAUAUCGAUAAUACGUGAAUGAUAAUACACCAAUUCGCAGGAUCAUCUCCACGUCCGGCAAACGAGAAACUUUGCUAUCACAUUGCUCGUGAAAGCUUGGUUGGUGAUUUCCUGUUACACGGUCCCAUCGGAAGCGCGGGUUUACGUGACGAGGCUCCAUUUGCCGAUCUCGCGGGAAUGUCAAGGUUCCCGGUGCAAUUUCACGCUGAAACGCGAUUCGUGCGUCCGACGUUUCCAGCCCGACCCCACCGUGGCUGCUUCCGUGGAAAACUUGGCGGGACCAUCGGCUAUCGAACGAGGCCCGAAUUGGGUCAAGUGCGGAUUUCCCAAGGAAACGCAUGCACCGUCGUCCUCGUGAAAACAGGGAAUAGAAUUGAAAUGAAAGAUGAAUCUUUCACACUUGUGUGAUUGUAACGUUUCUGAAUAAUUAGAAAGGAUUAAUUUUGAAU